Molecule: ribosomal RNA, 407 nt
Filed under: uncultured bacterium
Lineage: Bacteria
Description: partial 16S ribosomal RNA
Rfam family: Bacterial small subunit ribosomal RNA
Source: RNAcentral
AUUGAACGCUAGCGGGAUGCCUUACACAUGCAAGUCGAACGGAGUGGCGAACGGGCGAGUGAUGUAUCGGUACGGGCCCAGUAGCGGGGGAUGACUACGUGAAAGCGAAGCUAACACCGCAUACUCUUGGAGCGGUCGAUAUGGGAUUAGCUAGUUGGUGGGGUAACGGCUCACCAAGGCGACGGUCCGUAGCUGGUUUGAGAGGAAGACCAGCCACACUGGGACUGAGACACGGCCCAGACUCCUACGGGAGGCAGCAGUGGGGAAUUUUGGACAAUGGGCGAAAGCCUGAUCCAGCCAUCCCGCGUGUACGAUGAAGGCCUUCGGGUUGUAAAGCACUUUUGGCAGGAAGGCGGUACCUGCAGAAGAAGCACCGGCUAACUACGUGCCAGCAGCCGCGGUAAUAC